This 119-nucleotide ribosomal RNA is filed under the name Vigna radiata var. radiata (mung bean). The record is from RNAcentral. Lineage: Eukaryota; Viridiplantae; Streptophyta; Magnoliopsida; Fabales; Fabaceae.
AGGUGCGAACAUACCAACACUCAUGCACUAGAUCCCAUCAGAGCUCCGCAGUUAAGCGUGCGUGGGUGAGAGUAGUACUAGGAUGGGUGACCUCCUGGGAAGUCCUCGUUUUGCAUCUA